Molecule: ribosomal RNA, 120 nt
Filed under: uncultured bacterium
Lineage: Bacteria
Description: partial 16S ribosomal RNA
Rfam family: Bacterial small subunit ribosomal RNA
Source: RNAcentral
AAUACGUUCCCGGGCCUUGUACACACCGCCCGUCACACCACGAAAGUCGGCAACACCCGAAGCCGGUGGCCUAACCCUUUUGGGAGGGAGCCGUCGAAGGUGGGGUUGGUGAUUGGGGUG